CCUACGGGUGGCAGCAGUGGGGAAUAUUGGGCAAUGGGCGCAAGCCUGACCCAGCAACGCCGCGUGAAGGAUGAAGGCCUUCGGGUUGUAAACUGCUUUUAUAAGCGAGAAAUAUGAUGGUAACUUAUGAAUAAGGAUCUGCUAACUACGUGCCAGCAGCCGCGGUCAUACGUAGGAUCCGAGCAUGAGCCGGAGUGACUGGGUGUAAAGAGUUGCGUAGGUGGCAUAAUAAGUAGCUAGUGAAAUCUGGUGGCUCAACCAUUCAGACUAUUAGCUAAACUGUUAAGCUCGAGACCGUUAGGGGUAACUGGAAUUUCUAGUGUAGGAGUGAAAUCCGUAGAUAUUAGAAGGAACACCAAUAGCGUAGGCAGGUUACUGGGACGGUUCUGACACUAAGGCACGAAAGCGUAGGGAGCAAACGGGAUUAGAUACCCCUGUAGUC
Molecule: ribosomal RNA, 442 nt
Filed under: uncultured bacterium
Lineage: Bacteria
Description: partial 16S ribosomal RNA
Rfam family: Bacterial small subunit ribosomal RNA
Source: RNAcentral